This is a non-coding RNA of Podarcis lilfordi (Lilford's wall lizard), 67 nucleotides long. The record is from the annotation of a GenBank genome assembly. Lineage: Eukaryota; Metazoa; Chordata; Lepidosauria; Squamata; Lacertidae.
GAGCUCAGUUGGUAGAGCAUAAGACUCUUAAUCUCAAAGUCAUGGGUUCAAGCCCAAUGUUGGGCCA